RNAcentral lists this unclassified non-coding RNA (271 nucleotides) under Hevea brasiliensis (rubber tree). The record is from RNAcentral. Lineage: Eukaryota; Viridiplantae; Streptophyta; Magnoliopsida; Malpighiales; Euphorbiaceae.
AUGCUGAGUUUGAAUAACCAUCAGUUUUCUCAGCAGUUGAUACUGCUGCUGUGCAUUGGUUUUAUCAAUCUAGGAUAAGCAUCAGUGUUGGUUUUCAACCUAUAUACUUUCUUUGUACAAUUGGGCCACAUUACAUGUAAUAAGGUGUGCAUUAUUGUCCUUUUCUAGAUGCAAGCGCUUAUGAAUGAAGAAUGAGAAUACAGCCUAAAUAGAAUACCAAGAGUGGAUUCCUGAAUUUUGCAUACCACACUUGUUCGUUCUUUAGUAAUGA